This 76-nucleotide transfer RNA is filed under the name Candidatus Aenigmatarchaeota archaeon. Its description in RNAcentral is "tRNA-Pro". It matches the Rfam family "tRNA". From Rfam's summary of the family: Transfer RNA (tRNA) molecules are approximately 80 nucleotides in length. Their secondary structure includes four short double-helical elements and three loops (D, anti-codon, and T loops). Further hydrogen bonds mediate the characteristic L-shaped molecular structure. tRNAs have two regions of fundamental functional importance: the anti-codon, which is responsible for specific mRNA codon recognition, and the 3' end, to which the tRNAs corresponding amino acid is attached (by aminoacyl-tRNA synthetases). tRNAs cope with the degeneracy of the genetic code in two manners: having more than one tRNA (with a specific anti-codon) for a particular amino acid; and 'wobble' base-pairing, i.e. permitting non-standard base-pairing at the 3rd anti-codon position. Lineage: Archaea; Nanobdellati; Candidatus Aenigmatarchaeota. The record is from RNAcentral.
CGGGCUGUGGCGCAGUUGGUAGCGCACCGGGCUGGGGGUCCGGUGGUCGUGAGUUCGAGUCUCACCAGCCCGACCA